CAGGGAGACAACAAAAUGUUUAAUAUUAUUAUUUUGUCACCUUAGGUCGAUCGGUAUCUCACGUUUUUAAUUUAUUAAAAAUUUCAUUUCCUAAGUUUUUCUAGGUCACACCCAUUAUUUUUCCUGGGCCAUUAGCUCAGGUGGUUAGAGCGCACCCCUGAUAAGGGUGAGGUCCCUGGUUCAAGUCCAGGAUGGCCCAUAUCUCUAUGUUGGGGGUAUAGCUCAGUUGGUAGAGCGCCUGCUUUGCAAGCAGGAUGUCAGCGGUUCGAGUCCGCUUACCUCCACUGAUUACCACCUCUUCCAUAACUGGUAGAAAGGAAAUGUUUUGAGUUGUGAUCGAAUCCUGAAAGAAUCUAGCUUCCUAAUAAAAUCAUUAUGAUGCUGGACUCAUUGAAUUAAUUUCAUUGUUUUCAGAGAACCUAGACAACUGCAUAGAUUAUUUUAAAGACAAUAAGCAUCUUUAAUGAUGCAGAUUUAUUAUUUGUGCAAAUGCAUUAAUAACAAUUCUAUUAAGCUGAUGCUUCAAUUUUUGAAGUUAUU
Molecule: transfer RNA, 540 nt
Filed under: uncultured cyanobacterium
Lineage: Bacteria; Bacillati; Cyanobacteriota
Description: partial contains 16S ribosomal RNA, 16S-23S ribosomal RNA intergenic spacer, and 23S ribosomal RNA
Rfam family: tRNA (bases 212-284)
Source: RNAcentral